Molecule: ribosomal RNA, 309 nt
Filed under: Gyliauchen nahaensis
Lineage: Eukaryota; Metazoa; Platyhelminthes; Trematoda; Opisthorchiida; Gyliauchenidae
Description: SSU rRNA
Rfam family: Eukaryotic small subunit ribosomal RNA (bases 189-309)
Source: RNAcentral
UCUGGGUCGUACGACUACAUGCCGUUUCUCUUUUUCGGUCCGGUUUCGAUCGGUCGGAUUUGAGUCGGUGUCGGUUGUGCAGCCUUUCUGCCGUGUCUGUUUUACAGGUGUUGGUUGUAUCGGUGAGCUUGUCUUGCUGGUCGAUCGACAUGCCUCUGUAUGCCUUUUACCGGGUGUCGGGGGCGGACGGCACGUUUACUUUGAACAAAUUUGAGUGCUCAAAGCAGGCCUAUGUGCCUGAAAAUUCUUGCAUGGAAUAAUGGAAUAGGACUUCGGUUCUAUUUUGUUGGUUUUCGGAUCCGAAGUAAU